Rattus norvegicus (Norway rat) is the source of this 2850-nucleotide long non-coding RNA. RefSeq lists it as uncharacterized. NCBI's taxonomy places the organism in Eukaryota, Metazoa, Chordata, Mammalia, Rodentia, Muridae. The record is from RefSeq and is a predicted model, not a curated record.
CAUGUGGUUGCUGGGAAUUGAACUCAUGACCUUUGGAAGAGCAGUCAGUGCUCUUAACCACUGAGCCAUCUCUCCAGCCCUGUUUUUUGUUUUCUUGAUGCAAGGUUAUUCUGUGUGGCCCAGGCAAUCCUGAAACUGCUCUCUGCUCUGUAGAUCAGGCUGGCCUUGAACUCACAGAGAUCUGCCGGCCUCUGCCUCCCUAGUGCUGGGAUUAAAGGUACUGGGAUUAAAGGUGGGUGCCACCACCGCUCAGCCAUGGGUAAGUUUUUGUUGUGACAAGGUCUCUUUCUAUGUACCCUACCAGAAUUCACCAUGUAGUCCGGGCUGGCUAGAAACACAGCCAUCCUUCUGCCUUAGGCUCCCAAGUGUUGAGCUAUGGGCACGUAUCACACUCAGCCUCAUUUGAUGAGGGUUUUGACAGAGUGUUUUUCUUUGUCAGCAGUGGGGGUGCGUGCGCUGAAGACAUAGCUCCAUGCUGAGCUUUUGAAACUGGACUUCUUGACUACACCCCAGGAGAUUUCAGGGUGAGUCAGAAUGAAGUAAAGUUGGAAUUAAUUAAGAAGAGAUUUUAACACAGGUCUACACAUGGUAGGGGGUGGGUAAUAGGCAUACAGGGAAUACAACUGUACACACCCAAGCGGGAAUGUGGGUUUCUCAAGAGAGACUCCCUUAAGUAUCUUUACGGUAGCCAUGUAAGAUGUUGGAUGCCUGGAAAUGGUGGCACACGCCUUUAGUCCCAGCAUUCAGGAGGCAGAGGUAGAUGGAGCUUGAGACCAAUCUGGUGUACAGAGCAAGUUCCAGGAUAGUCAGGGCUACUCAGAGAAAACAAACCAGAACAAAGAUGCUGAUGUCAUCUGAAGUUACAUCUCAAGGGGUUGCUAAGGAAUAGUAAUGUGCUCAUUAGAGUGGUUCCUGAUGUGUAUUGGAUAGGAUUGAAGCUGAUAAAGUAAAACCCCAGGGUCACAAGGGUGGUAUGGAGCUUUUACUGUAAACUUUUGUCUGUGACACUCUCAAUAAUUCUCAGGCUUGCAUCUGGGAAAGAACUAACCCCAUAUUCUAAGGUCAUAUAUACUCAGAGUUUAAGCAUGGUUUAUUGGUAUUUUAAUAUUGCUUUUUGUGACUACGUAGUCAGUCUUCACAGCAAAUGUCAGUUGCACUGGAAUUCUUGACUUUUGGCUGGGGAGGGGCUCCUUUCUCCUUACCUUUUCCUGUCUUUCUAGCCAGGCUCAGUGUUUGCAACUUUUAUACUCAACACCUGAAUACUGAAUCUUGCUAGAUGUGUGAGUCUUCUGGCAAGCUGAGUGCUCGCCUCUGUACCUCCUGCCACCUAUUGCUCUAGUCCAGUAUAGCCCUAUGCAUUGUGUCGGCCCUGUGUUAUCCGUGGGUGUUCGAGAGUGGAUAAGACGGGGCUAGAUAGGAGGGUAGGGUUGGGCCCCAGUUUCCACCCUGUAAUGGGCCUUGAAGCAGCUGAAAGGGCGAUGGGUUUGGCGGCACCAGGACUGCAUUGUCUGGGACUGAGACGAAGUGAUGCCAUGCCAAGCGAGGCAGAGUCCAGUGCCGGAAUGCCGAGAGCGGCUGCCUUCGAGCCAUCCAUCCUUUAGCGCCCUCUUCUUGUAUCUCUCUUUCGAGCUCCCUUGGAAGCGAACAGAGAUGCUGAACAGUGCGAAGUUUGACGAUCUCCACUCCCAACACUUCACAGGAACGCCAAAUUUCUACCAGAACUUCAGGAUUCUGCAGGCCUUCUCUCCGCUUGUUGGUUCGCACCUGUGUAUCGCCUCCAUCUGCAAAAGCCCUCACCUCUGUUCCUAGGGAAUGGAAUACAGAGUAGCCUUUUCUCAGCUGUAAAGACUUCUGUCAGAGACCCAAGGCUGUGGAGCCAGACAGGACUUAAAGGAAGUGGCAAAUUCCGGCCUUGCCCUGGGAAGAAGGGCGCCAAAGCUCAGUGGGAGUGGCUUGGCCUGGCUUCAGAGCCCAAGGUUUCCUUUGGCCCUAGGAAUCACAUUCAUGGUGGGAAAUAGUAGAACACUGGCGGAAAUGCUUUCUAAAAAUACCCUUCAAGGAAGGUGAGAAAGCCUGUGUAAAGGAACAAUGACUUAUUUCUACUGGUAUGGUAAAUCUGUAAGGCUGAAUGGAUUAUAGAAAACGCAUUCCCAGCACACCUGCUACUUGGGAGAUUUUUUUUAAGGAGCAAAGCAGAAAAAUCAAAGUCUGUAGGGCGACCCCACCCAUGUGUGAAAAAUACGAGGCCAGCUUCAGAAAGAGAGAUAGUGAUAGGCAAGCAACCUGAAGAUGGUUGAGUCUCCCCUUGCAUGGAACAAGGUUGGGAACCAGCCUAGAGAGAAGAUGGGAAGCAGGUUCUUGAAAGCACCACUUCACUCACUCACAGGCAUCUUGGUAAAAGCGUCAGAGUAUAUCUAUUCACAUGAUCGGCACAUUCCUGAAGGGCUGGAGAUGCUAGGGCAAGGGUACCUAGCCUUUGGAGUUUCACUGCCCCCUGGAGCCCUUGUUAGUCUUGUCCAUUCUGAUCACAGUGAGGCCUUUGGUUCCUGGUUAGGAAUAGAUGCCUCUCAAUGCCCUUUGGCACUUGAGAGGUGCCAAGGUUUGUAGCUGGAGAAAUAAGGAAGGAGUGGAAAAAUCCAUGCUCCACAGGGAAGAGUCAGAGCCCCAUGCCGCCUGGGCCAAAGUUCUCUGCCUAGAAAGGCAGGGCCACAUUCACAGCAGGGCCUCACAGUGUCACUUCCACCUUAACUGCACCGAGAACAGAGGACAAAAGGGUGCAGCAAGUCUAGCAAAAUAAGGUCUGUAAUACUAGGCCACCAUGAUAUGCUAAUAAAGUAGUAAUAAACACAA